UGUCCCGGAUGGCGCAGUGGUUAACGCACCUGCGUAGUAAUCAGGAGACCCUGGGUUCGAAUCCCAGUCCGACAU
RNAcentral lists this transfer RNA (75 nucleotides) under Schistocerca americana (American grasshopper). RNAcentral's name for it is "tRNA-Thr". It matches the Rfam family "tRNA". Rfam says of the family: Transfer RNA (tRNA) molecules are approximately 80 nucleotides in length. Their secondary structure includes four short double-helical elements and three loops (D, anti-codon, and T loops). Further hydrogen bonds mediate the characteristic L-shaped molecular structure. tRNAs have two regions of fundamental functional importance: the anti-codon, which is responsible for specific mRNA codon recognition, and the 3' end, to which the tRNAs corresponding amino acid is attached (by aminoacyl-tRNA synthetases). tRNAs cope with the degeneracy of the genetic code in two manners: having more than one tRNA (with a specific anti-codon) for a particular amino acid; and 'wobble' base-pairing, i.e. permitting non-standard base-pairing at the 3rd anti-codon position. RNAcentral also lists the same sequence under 1 other name. Lineage: Eukaryota; Metazoa; Arthropoda; Insecta; Orthoptera; Acrididae. The record is from RNAcentral.